GUAUAGGUUUUAAAGGCAAUUAAGCCCAUUAAAUAACAUUCUUAGACAUACUUGGGGGUAUAUAAAGACAUAGACUGGAAAUGUAAGGAAAGCCGGCCUAUUUUAUGCACAGCAGUCCUCAAACCGAGUUUCCUCGAGAGGUAUCCAAGUCUACAAAAGGUGCACAGGUGGUUAAAAGGUUGGCGUUAGGCGUGCACAUGUUCCGAAGAACCAGCAACAGCCCAACCAAGCUUAUUCAAUAAUGAUCCUUCCGCAGGUUCACCUACGGAAA
RNAcentral lists this unclassified non-coding RNA (271 nucleotides) under uncultured fungus. Its description in RNAcentral is "sequence contains ITS1". Lineage: Eukaryota; Fungi. The record is from RNAcentral.